ACGGUAACAGGUCUUCGGAUGCUGACGAGUGGCGAACGGGUGAGUAAUACAUCGGAACGUGCCCAGUAAUGGGGGAUAGCUCGGCGAAAGCCGGAUUAAUACCGCAUACGCCCUGAGGGGGAAAGUGGGGGACCGCAAGGCCUCACGUUAUUGGAGCGGCCGAUGGCUGAUUAGCUAGUUGGUAGGGUAAAGGCCUACCAAGGCGACGAUCAGUAGCUGGUCUGAGAGGACGAUCAGCCACACUGGGACUGAGACACGGCCCAGACUCCUACGGGAGGCAGCAGUGGGGAAUUUUGGACAAUGGGGGAAACCCUGAUCCAGCAAUGCCGCGUGUGCGAAGAAGGCCUUCGGGUUGUAAAGCACUUUUGUCAGGGAAGAAAUCCUUUGGGCUAAUACCCUAGGGGGAUGACGGUACCUGAAGAAUAAGCACCGGCUAACUACGUGCCAGCAGCCGCGGUAAUACGUAGGGUGCAAGCGUUAAUCGGAAUUACUGGGCGUAAAGCGUGCGCAGGCGGUUGUGUAAGACAGGUGUGAAAUCCCCGGGCUUAACCUGGGAAUUGCAUUUGUGACUGCACGACUAGAGUGUGUCAGAGGGGGGUGGAAUUCCACGUGUAGCAGUGAAAUGCGUAGAUAUGUGGAGGAACACCAAUGGCGAAGGCAGCCCCCUGGGAUAACACUGACGCUCAUGCACGAAAGCGUGGGGAGCAAACAGGAUUAGAUACCCUGGUAGUCCACGCCCUAAACGAUGUCAACUAGUUGUUGGGGAUUUACUUCCUUGGUAACGUAGCUUACGCAUGAAGUUGACCGCCUGGGGAGUACGGCCGC
This 825-nucleotide ribosomal RNA is filed under the name uncultured beta proteobacterium. RNAcentral describes it as "bacterial SSU rRNA". It matches the Rfam family "Bacterial small subunit ribosomal RNA", at positions 66 to 889 of the family's 1533-position model. The record is from RNAcentral. Lineage: Bacteria; Pseudomonadati; Pseudomonadota; Betaproteobacteria.